CAGAACAUACAACAUUAUAACUGGGGGACCAUUAAUAUCACAACUUAGUUUGAGGAGAUAGCAUCUUCUUCACCUUCAGAUCCAGAACUACCACUAGAUUGAUCUUGAGAAUUAGACCUCUCACAAAACUCUUUGUUGUUCUAGUCAGCAAUCUCCUCCAGGAUGUUCACCACAAACUCCUUCACUAAACCUUCAAAACACUGGGGCAAAGCAACAAAAGUUUUCAUCAGACCAGCAGUCUUGAUCAAUUCCAU
Molecule: long non-coding RNA, 254 nt
Filed under: Lathyrus oleraceus (garden pea)
Lineage: Eukaryota; Viridiplantae; Streptophyta; Magnoliopsida; Fabales; Fabaceae
Description: Pisum sativum (pea) long non-coding RNA (PSAT_LNC005880)
Source: RNAcentral